This 789-nucleotide ribosomal RNA is filed under the name uncultured archaeon. RNAcentral describes it as "bacterial SSU rRNA". It matches the Rfam family "Archaeal small subunit ribosomal RNA", at positions 1 to 786 of the family's 1478-position model. The record is from RNAcentral.
GCCCUUUUCCGGUUGAUCCUGCCGGAGGCCAUUGCUAUCGGGGUCCGAUUUAGCCAUGCUAGUCGAACGAGUUGAGACUCGUGGCGACCAGCUCAGUAACACGUGGCCAACCCACCCUGUAGACCGGAAUAGUCUCGGGAAACUGAGGGCAAUACCGGAUAGGCGAUCCGCGCUGGGAUGCGGGAUCGCCGAAAGGUGAGCCGCUACAGGACGGGGCUGCGGCCGAUUAGGUAGACGGUGGGGUAACGGCCCACCGUGCCAGUAAUCGGUACGGGUCAUGAGAGUGAGAGCCCGGAGACGGACUCUGAGACAAGAGUCCGGGCCCUACGGGGCGCAGCAGGCGCGAAACCUUUACACUGCACGCGAGUGCGAUAAGGGGACCCCGAGUGCGGAGGCAUAGUGCCUUCGCUUUUCUGGACUGUAGGGACGUCCAGGAAGAAGGGCUGGGCAAGACCGGUGCCAGCCGCCGCGGUAAUACCGGCAGCCCGAGUGAUGGCCGAUAUUAUUGGGCCUAAAGCGUCCGUAGCUGGCCGCGUACGUCCGUCGGGAAAUCCACGCGCUCAACGCGUGGGCGACCGACGGAGUCGGCGCGGCUUGGGACCGGAAGGCGCGACGGGUACGUCCGGGGUAGGAGUGAAAUCCUAUAAUCCCGGACGGACCGCCGAUGGCGAAAGCACGUCGCGAGGACGGCUCCGACAGUGAGGGACGAAAGCUGGGGUCUCGAACCGGAUUAGAUACCCGGGUAGUCCCAGCCGUAAACGAUGCCUGUUUAGGUGUGGCACUCGCUAC